Molecule: ribosomal RNA, 713 nt
Filed under: uncultured archaeon
Lineage: Archaea
Description: bacterial SSU rRNA
Rfam family: Archaeal small subunit ribosomal RNA
Source: RNAcentral
AUAAUACUGGAUAGGCAAUUUUUCCUGUAAUGGUUUUUUGUUUAAAUGUUUUUUCGCCUAAGGAUGGGUCUGCGGCCGAUUAGGUAGUUGGUUAGGUAAUGGCUUACCAAGCCGUUGAUCGGUACGGGUUGUGAGAGCAAGAGCCCGGAGAUGGAACCUGAGACAAGGUUCCAGGCCCUACGGGGUGCAGCAGGCGCGAAACCUCCGCAAUGUGAGAAAUCGCGACGGGGGGAUCCCAAGUGCUAUUCUUAACGGGAUGGCUUUUCAUUAGUGUAAAGAGCUUUUGGAAUAAGGGCUGGGCAAGACCGGUGCCAGCCGCCGCGGUAACACCGGCAGCUCUAGUGGUAGCAGUUUUUAUUGGGCCUAAAGCGUCCGUAGCCGGUUUAAUAAGUCUCUGGUGAAAUCCUGUAGCUUAACUGUGGGAAUUGCUGGAGAUACUAUUAGACUUGAGACCGGGAGAGGUUAGAGGUACUCCCAGGGUAGAGGUGAAAUUCUGUAAUCCUGGGAGGACCGCCUGUUGCGAAGGCGUCUAACUGGAACGGUUCUGACGGUGAGGGACGAAAGUUAGGGGCGCGAACCGGAUUAGAUACCCGGGUAGUCCUAACUGUAAACGAUGCGGACUUGGUGUUGGGGUGGCUUUGAGCUGCUCCAGUGCCGAAGGGAAGCUGUUAAGUCCGCCGCCUGGGAAGUACGGUCGCAAGACUGAAACUUAA